GGAGAUCUGCCUGGGCAUCAAGCAGAGAAGGCCUCAAUCCACCACUAUCUCUGCACAGGAAGGGUUAGGAAACUCAGGCUGCUGGUCCGGGCAAGCAGUUGCUCCAAAUGCAUGGAGUUCUGCCUGGAUGUGGAGUGAAGAGGCCCCCCUGCAUCAGGAUCUCUACACAGGAAGGAUGGCCGUAGCUCAGGCUGCUGAACCAGAACAGAAAUUGUCUUGUCAUUCUGUGUCCCUUGGGACUCCUAUUAUUACUGGCAGAUGGUGCCUGGAUAAACAAGAAAUUCUGAACACUUUGAGUCUGGAAAUUUUCAGAACACCUAGACAGCAUCAGUCAUAACUCCAUACCUGUGUGAGACUGGAAGACUGGAUAGGGCUGAAGUUGGAGAAAUGCCUUUUCCCAGGGUUGUCAGACUGUCAUUUGUUCUGAUGAAGACCCCGCACUCCUUGAGUGGUCAGCCAGUUUUAUCCCAGGGCAGCCACACUUCAGAGGCCUCUGCAUCAUAAGCUUCAUCUAUCUUCAUAUUCAGCAAAACACCAGAUAAGUGGCUAAUUAGCAUAAUUAACAUCAGAAAUGGGUUUUCAUUGGUGAAUUUAGUGGCUUGUUAAUCAGCAUAAUGAAUGUUAGAAAUGGGUUCUGAAUUGUGAAAUUAGAAGAAAUCAAGAUAGUGAAUUGGUUAAAGUAUUAUAGAAACAUACUUAACACUUGCAUAAAAUGGGAAAUUAGAAUCUAUGAGAUCUGUUGGGAUGGCCCCGAAGGUUACAUCAUUAAAUGGACUUGAGUCCAGUCUUUGGGUGAGAGAAUUUCAUAGUGACUGAUGCAAAUUUGUAAAGGUAACAAAAUCUGCCUCUGAAAUAUUGCUAUGUUUGUCUCCUGUAAAUCAUUCAUGUAACAAAUAUGUAUAGUUUGUUCAUCUAAAAGCACAGUGAUCUGGGUCUUUAUCAAACUUAAACAAUAUUGUAUUCACUCUUUCGGGUUUGCCUGUGCAUUCAUGUUUAUGUAUGUCUGUAUGAACAUAGAUUUUGGUCUGAAACUUGCUUUUAUUACAACUGGUAACAAAGCUUGCUUACAAUGAGCAACAAAUACUCACACACAUCAAAAUGUUCAGCUUUUUCUAUAAAAGAACUUCUGAGUUGUAUGAAAUCAAAUUGGUUUACAUCAGUUCAGAACGGUUUGCAAUAAUGUGCUACAGAGAAGUAAACAUCUUCUGUUCCAGCAUUACAGGAUUCUGUAGUGUGUUGAAGACCUGCUGUUUGGUAAGAUGAUCCACACUCCUUGAGACAAUUCAGCCCUGAUGGCCUGACAGUAUUGUUGUAACUUUUCAAUAACUGUAAUGUUAUUACUUCUGUUUUAGAGAGGAAUAAAUCUGAGGUCAAAGAGGUUAAGUAGCUUGCCCAAUUCUAAUACAUGGGAAGGAAUACAGAAAGUAGUUAAUUCCAAAUGUCACUUUUUAACAUCAUGUUCUUUUCUCUAAGUCAUGGUUCUAUAUCUUGGGACAUAGAAAAUAGAAAACAAGUUCCAAUGAACAACACAGCCAAAAGAGAAGUUUUUGAGGGAAAGCACACAUAAAUUUCUUAACCUCAAGUGCCAAAGAAUGUCUCCUAUUUCUUAGGGAUCACAGUAAAAUCCUCUUGGUAUAAAUUCUAGUUGUUGCUUGAUGCUAAGUUCAAUGUUUACUAAGCACCAGAUUUCAUUCCAUAGAGUGGGUUCAGUAAUUCUUAGCUAAUUUUUUUGUUGCUAUUAUAAAAUCUUAAGUUGAAAAAACCUUUCAGGUACUGUUACGAAAAGACAUGUGAACAGGAUGGAGGCGCCUGAAAAUUUUACCCAAGAUUAUGUUUCUCGGAAUUGCUAAGAAGUACUUCUUAGCAAAUACUAAUUUAACAAGUCUUCUAAUAGGAAGUAUUGCACUACACAAUCAAGUUGUUUUUAACUAGGAAUCAUUUCAUUUUGAAAUAAAUCACAGGUUUACAUAUAAACACACACACACACACACACACACACACACACACAGCCCACAUAUGUAUGUCAGCUUAACCAUAUGCAGCUCUGAUAGCUCUGAUUAAAUAUAUGCUUCCAACCCUAUAAACAGCAAGAUCCACAGUCGCUUCCAUGAAAUAGUUAUUUCACCGAGACUGGAUAAAUGGUAAAGCUUUUUCCUCUCUUCCAGCUGUAACCAUUCCCUUUCUUUCUGGGAUCCUCUGUCCUCCUUCCUUGGAAAAGCACCUUCCAUAACAUACUGAGAGUAAAGAGUACAGUGCUCUUGUGAAGGCAGAAUAAAAACUUGGAGGUACUUACUGAGAAUACUAGAGCUGGGUCUGAGAGCUCCAUGAAUGUCGAUGACAGAGCAGGCCACUUCAAAUAGAUAAAACUGCAUUAGUGCUUUUAAAUUUGUCCUUGGGAAUACGCUCAUCUGAAACAAUGAUUGCAGAUACAAAUCAGAUGAAUGCUGCUUUCGGAACUAAAUGAAUGCUCUAAGAGAACAGCUCUGAGAAGAAUACAUUGAAGAGUCUGGAAAGUAAUUUCAUGGAAAAUAGAUUGGGUGCCCAGUUUAUUUGAAGAAAGAUGGGAGUAGAAAAAGCAAAAAGAAGAAAAUGAUUUUAAAGUUUAUUUGGACAUGCCACAAAUUAUGCCUAUAUAUGUUUUAUGCAUGAGUUAAAUAUCUGACAGAUAAUUAUUGAUCACAGAAAUUCUAUAUAAAGGAUGUACUCCCAAAUUGAAUAUCUCUACACAGUAAGCUUAUGUAAUUCAAAUCUUUUUCUCAUAUCAUAUGUUGUUUGUACAUAUAAAGGCUUGCAUUAUUCUGAAAGGGGCACAUUAAAAAUACAAACUCAGCCAAAUGACUGAGAAGAAUUUAGGAUGUACACACUAACGUUAAAAACCAGUGCAAAAAAUUAACUAUCCUCUGAAUGGGUUAUGUUUUCCCAUAUAGUUAGGCCCUGCUGGAUAGUUAUUUAGAUGCCUUGAGAACUAUCUUCAUGUCACCCUCAAGACUCAGGCCCUGGGGCUGCAAAGAGCUAUUUCAUCCCAGGAUGAUCAGAAAUGGGAAAUAUGAAUCAAGGAUGAUUUCUGGCAGAAUUGGGUCUGACUCAUGAAUGGCAAUGCCUUUUUUCUUCCUUUAACUUAUCUUUAAAGGAUAUCCUUUGAAGGAGAUAACUUUCAGGAAAAUGAGAUACUCGUCUAUGAAAAAGUCAAAUUAUUCCAGGUAACAGAGCUCAGAGCAGUCUUCCACAAGGCUUGACACUUCAAAACAAACAAUAAGAAAUCCACUUAAAAUUCCUUAACUUUCCUCUUUCACAGAAUGAUAUUUUACCUCAAGGGUAUUUAUGUAGCUACAGAAAACAAGGGUAGAGGCCCCAGGCUUCUUUCACAAGGUGUUGAUUGAUACUAUAACUUUCCUGGAGCCCAAGAGGAGAGGACUUAAAAUGCACCCAUGGGUUCUUGUCUUGGUAUCGUCAGAAGAAGGAGCAUCUCACUGGUGACAGGGUUCCUUUGGGCAACUUUUUACUGCUCAGAGGUAGAAACAGUUUAUCAAGCUACUGUUUCUUGGGGUGACUUGUUCAAAGUUUCCUUUCACGUAAUGGGAUGCAACAUGAGAUGAGAAGUGACAGCUGGAAGCUGAAUCUUGCAUACAGGAUAGGUGCUCACAUAUCUUAGUGUGAUCAUACAAAACUUUUUGAGGAGUGAGAUUGUUUUUGAGGCCUACUGAUUCAGCAAAGUGCGCUUACUCAAUAUUUUAGGUAGUUAUUAAGGAAGCAGUCCUGAAAGCACUAUAAAGCAAUGCAUAUAAUUAAAAUGUCUUUGACUCAAGACAUGGAACCAACCCAAAUGCCCGUGAAUGAUAGACUGGAUAAAGAAAAUGUGGUACCUACACACCAUGGAAUACUAUGCAGCCAUAAAAAGCAAUGAGAUUAUGUAUUUUGCGGAGACAUAGGUGAAGCCGGAAGCCAUCAUCCUCAGCAAACUAACAGAGGAACAGAAAACCAAACACCUCAUGUUCUCACUCGUAAGUGGGAGUUGAACAAUGAGAACACAUGGACCCAGGGAGGGGAACAACACAUGCCAGGGCCUGUUGGGAUGUGCGGGGCCAGGGGGGUGAACUUAGAUGAUGGGUCAAUAGGUGCAGCAAACCCACCAUGGCACACGUAUACCUAUGUAACAAACUUGCAUGUUUUGCACAUGUAUCUCGGACCUUAAAGAAAAAUAAAAGUUUGAAAAAAUGUCUUUAAUCCAUAUUUGGAAAAGUCAAUGGAAUCUCAGGCUCCUCAACCCUUAUUCUUCAGAG
This 4280-nucleotide long non-coding RNA is filed under the name Homo sapiens (human). RNAcentral's name for it is "non-protein coding lnc-TLE4-12:4". The record is from RNAcentral. Lineage: Eukaryota; Metazoa; Chordata; Mammalia; Primates; Hominidae.